UGAGCUUGAUCCUGGCUCAGGAUGAACGCUAGCGGCAGGCUUAACACAUGCAAGUCGAGGGGUAUAAGUCUUCGGAUUUAGAGACCGGCGCACGGGUGCGUAACGCGUAUGCAAUCUACCUUUUACAGAGGGAUAGCCCAGAGAAAUUUGGAUUAAUACCUCAUAGCAUAGCAGCUUCGCAUGAAGCCACUAUUAAAGUCACAACGGUAAAAGAUGAGCAUGCGUCCCAUUAGCUAGUUGGUAAGGUAACGGCUUACCAAGGCUACGAUGGGUAGGGGUCCUGAGAGGGAGAUCCCCCACACUGGUACUGAGACACGGACCAGACUCCUACGGGAGGCAGCAGUGAGGAAUAUUGGACAAUGGGCGCAAGCCUGAUCCAGCCAUGCCGCGUGCAGGAUGACGGUCCUAUGGAUUGUAAACUGCUUUUAUACGAGAAGAAACACUCCUUCGUGAAGGAGCUGACGGUAUCUAGA
RNAcentral lists this ribosomal RNA (473 nucleotides) under Flavobacterium sp. 01WB04.4-21. Its description in RNAcentral is "bacterial SSU rRNA". It matches the Rfam family "Bacterial small subunit ribosomal RNA", at positions 1 to 483 of the family's 1533-position model. Lineage: Bacteria; Pseudomonadati; Bacteroidota; Flavobacteriia; Flavobacteriales; Flavobacteriaceae. The record is from RNAcentral.